Molecule: long non-coding RNA, 3475 nt
Organism: Onychostoma macrolepis
Lineage: Eukaryota; Metazoa; Chordata; Actinopteri; Cypriniformes; Cyprinidae
Exons: 4
Source: RefSeq, a predicted model, not a curated record
CAAUGGUUUGUUUGCAAAUCCAAAUGAUGGAGUAAAUGUGACUUUGUGUGGUGUCCUCGUCAUUUGGAAAAUUGUUCCAAAAACAAGCAAUUAGGUGUUUCAUAGCGUGAUACGCCGCUAUCCUUCCCAAUUUUACUGCGCCUGAUCCAAAGAUAUCAAAGGAACCUGAAUGGAAAGGUUCUAAAUAUAUUGUGUCUCAAGGAAGUCAAACGUUCCACCUGAUGAGUGAAGUUUCAUCACAUGCACUGAGAUGAGGAAAGCUCUUUUGACACAUUGCAUUUGACCCGGGGUUUUGGAGGUCAGUCAUGUUUAGCCACAGCAAAAGCCAGGGACAAAGGAAAAGAUUAUAUAAACGGGUGGAUUACAUGGCCUGUUUGGAAUCUGGAUCUAUCUGGCUGAUGUGUCUGGCAGACACCCAUUUGGAUGCAGAGCAGUAUUGUCUGUGUCAGUGAAGGAGCCCCUGAGAGCAGCACUGUCUGUCUGAGCAUGACUCAUACUAAACAAUAUGCUUUUACCUUCACUAAACCUACGCCACGGGCUAGUCAGUGGUCUGCAAAAAUCAAACCCCCCUGAGUUCCUCCUACAGUCUCAUCAAAAUCUAUCAUUGUGCUCUACAGUAUGUUCUUCCUCUUUUUCUCUCUGAGAAUUUGGAGUCUAGUGAAGAUCCAGGAGAGAAAGUAAUGUAGUUCAAAUGAAUAUGUGACAGUGGAUGUCACAACUGAGCGCUAAAGCUACAAGUAGUGCUAAUAUGACCCUACGAUUUAAAAGCAACUCAUAAAACCAGUAUGUUUUUUUAAUCUUAGGGCCUCAUGAAGGAGUUUUUCUCCCUCCAGCAAGAUUUAACCUAUGGCACUUAGGUGAGAGUUACGUAAAAUUUGCGUGAGCUUGUGAAAAGCAGGUCUGUUUUCUAUUUAGGAUCUCCCAUGGUUCAAUCAAAUUGGCUUUUUUCUUGCGUGCAUAUAUGUGUAAUGGUGCUAAAAGCCUGAGAUUUAUGCUCUGGAAAUAGCUCAAAAUGAUGUGAAGCUUUAGGGUUGGACACAGUUUGUCCUGUUCUUGAUGGCUGGUGACAGUUCAGCAGAUUUUUUAAAAACAAUUAGCAAAUGAGGAAUUUUGAAGGUAUUGAGAUCAUUGAGUUCAGUGCGCCUUGUUGUCUACAGGUAGUUGUCUUUGUAUUCUUAGUAGUAGUUUUUGUAUAGGAAGCGAGACGUGGUUUAUGUGUUGAUUUGUUUGUAACAGAGGAUUGGAAACGUGUACAUAUGGAGGGUUUAAAGAGGGUUGACUGUAUGUUGCUGGGUACUGACUUGGCUAUGUGAUUGUAUAGUGAUGCAGGGGGUCCUGUUGCUCAGGAUCCACACUGAGGGCCUACUGUAUUCACUGGCUCCAGCCCCAGAAUUCCCCUGUGUCCAGGCAUUCCAACACCUAUGCUUUUGAACAUUCUGGAAAGUUGCUAAAACCUUUAUAGGCAAGUUUUUUUUAAAGAAGGAAAAUAAGAUGUUGUGUGAAAUAAGAUUCUCGUGAACCCUCAACCUUUUUUCUUUUUUAAGAGUGGUGUUCCCUACCUUGCCUAUCACUUUGUAUCCAUGUAAUGGAUAUAUUAUAAACAACAUUAAUUGCAUACAUCAGUAAUUUUUGAAGACGAAGAUAAUUCAUAGCUUUGAUUACACAUUGAAAAAGUGGAUUUAGAAGUCAAUCGGUGUAAACUAAUAAAAUUUGUUUUCAUUAACUGAAUGCUAGAAUAAAAUAAUGUAAAUAUUAUAUGAAAAACUUAAACUCAGUGUCAACUAACUAAAAUGUUUAAGUACUAAAAUGACUAAAACUAAAAUAAAGCUAAAAAGUAAUUUUAUGCGUAACUUGUCUUUAUCAGACCAUUUACUUUUGACAUUUUAGUGAGACGGGGGUUUUACACUUUCUCAUGUUUGGUCCUGAUGACGUCUGAAGUGAUGUUAGUACACUGCAUGUGUGUUUGCUCUCCACUCAUUCUCACAGCUCGCUGUUGACUUCUCUCACCGUAAACUCACUCACACAGUCAUCCAUCCACAGGCCAGACAGAAUCAGAGGGAAUGUUAAUAAAAGGCUUAAGCUGGAUUUCCGAUACAAUUACAAAUCAUGCUCUUAAGAACAUAUUAACUUGCGUUGGACAUUACUUAAUAAAGCAAUGCUUGUUUCCCAAGCCAGCAUGUCGAUCACUCGGUAUUACAGUAGAUAGGACUUGAUGCUGUUCGAUUAAUAUUUGUUCAUGUAAUGGAGGUCCAGCCCCGGGUUAGGUCCAUACUGUAGAGUCUCCUGAUCUUGAGACACGUCUGGAAUCCCUAUAUCCUUUCCAUCUCGCUAUGUCUGGUACCUCAGGGUCUCUGUUUCUGAGUAAGCAUUGGGCCGUAGCCUUCGCUCCUGUCAGAGGGAAGCAGAGGAACCGGUCGGUGAGAGCUGGCAGUGUGUCAGGCGGCACUGUUUCCAGCUGCUGUUGCUGAAGAAAAACGAGACUCUGGAAAUAAAACCAGACAGACCCAAGUGCCUUAAUAACUCACAGCAGGGCCUACAGGGAAAAAAAUAACAGAAAAAAAAUAUAUAGAAGGGAGACGGAGACUGAGGCAUGGCCUGAUAGCAAAUUAUAUGAAGGAAAAUAGCAAGCAGUGUUUAUGUUUCAGAAUUUGAAAACACAUUUUACAGGAUCUUGGUGUGUUACAGCCUUUUAAUUUUACCAGCCAGCAAAUUCAUUUUAACAUUUGACAUGAUGUAAAGACAAUAAUGUCAUGGUUUGACUGACAGGUCAAAUUUAAAUAAAAAGCAAAAGAAAGAAACGUUGGCACUCUACUCUGCCAGUUGCUUCUAAUUUGCACAGGUAUUUUUUUCCCCCUCGUAUGUCAUUUCUUUAUGUGUUUUCAAACGGAAGGAAAUUUUAGCUCACACGGUCAGCUAUAUUACAGAAAUACUAUAGCAGAUGAAGUUAAAGGUAUAGUUUGCCCAGAAAUUAAAAUUGUCAUCAAUUGCACACUUUCAUGUCAUUCCAAACUGUAUGAUUUUAUUUUAUUUUUUUCUUGUGGAACACAGAAAAAUAUAUUUUGAAAAAUGUGCUGGUUGCUCUUUUCUGUGCAAAUACAGUGCAUGUGGAUUGGGGCUUUUAAGAUUCAAAAAGGACAUGACAGUACAUAAAAGUAACAAAAGUAUUGCAUACUACUUGAACACUAUAUUUAAGGUCUGCUGAAGUUCAACCAUAGCUUUGUGUUAGAAACAGAACAGAGUCAGCGAGUUAAACUUGAGAAAUCAAAUCCAAUUUGUGAAUGAGUCAUUCAGGUUUUGUGAACUGAAUCAACUGAUUUGUUGCGAAGAUCUGAUUUAAAAGAAUGAUCCGUUCAGAAAUCAGACAUCACUACUUAUUACAUGAACUUACCAAAGAGAGUUAGGGCAGAUACCAAGAUCACACUAACCUAUCAUAUGAUUUUUGAUAUUCAUAUGAUAUGAUCAUAUGAAUUUUGCA